RNAcentral lists this ribosomal RNA (253 nucleotides) under uncultured bacterium. Its description in RNAcentral is "partial 16S ribosomal RNA". It matches the Rfam family "Bacterial small subunit ribosomal RNA", at positions 524 to 776 of the family's 1533-position model. The record is from RNAcentral.
UACGGAGGGGGCUAGCGUUAUUCGGAAUUAUUGGGCGUAAAGGGCGUGUAGGCGGCUUCGUGUGUCCCAUGUGAAAGCCCUCGGCUCAACCGGGGAACUGCAUGGGAAACUGCGGAGCUUGAGUCCGGGAGAGGUGAGUGGAAUUCCCAGUGUAGCGGUGAAAUGCGUAGAUAUUGGGAGGAACACCGGUGGCGAAGGCGGCUCACUGGACCGGUACUGGCGCUGAGACGCGAAAGCCAGGGGAGCAAACGGG